AUAACCUAUAAUUUAUUUUAGAGAAAUAUAAUAGUAAGCUUUAAACCAGCUAUCUUUAAGAUUACGUUUUAGUUCAUUAUUUUUUAUUUUGAUUUAUAAAUAUUUUAGGUUUUUUAUUAAGAUUAUUAAUUUAAUUUUGAAAUUUUUGUAAUAAUGAUAGAAUUAGUAUAUUUAUUUGUAUGAAAUUUUUACCUUGUGAACUUAUUAUAAGGAACUAGGCAAAAUUGAUUUUCCGCCUGUUUAUCAAAAACAUGUCCUCUAGUUUAUAUUUUGAGGUCUGGCCUGCUCACUGAGCGUAUUUUUAAAGAGCCGCGGUAUUUUGACCGUGCAAAGGUAGCAUAAUCAUUAGUCUCUUAAUUAGUGGCUGGAAUGAAUGGCUUGACGAGAAAUCAACUGUCUCUUAAUAAAUUUUUGAAUUUAACUUUUGAGUCAAAAGGCUUAAAUUCUUCUUUAGGACGAGAAGACCCUAUAGAGCUUGACAUUUUACUUUUAUAUAGUUUUUUGUUUGUCUUUCUAUAUUUAAUGAUGAUGUUUUGUUGGGGUGACAUGAAGAAUAAAUAAACUCUUCAUUAUUAUAUCAUUUAUUUAUGUUUGUUAUUUUGAUCCAUAAUUUAUGAUCAUAAGAUUAAGUUACCUUAGGGAUAACAGCGUAAUUGUUUUUGAGAGCUCAUAUCGACAAAGCAGAUUGCGACCUCGAUGUUGGAUUAAGAAAAAUUUUGGGUGCAGGAGCCCAAUGAUUAGGUCUGUUCGACCUUUAAAUUCUUACAUGAUCUGAGUUCAGACCGGCGUGAGCCAGGUCGGUUUCUAUCCUAAGAUUGUUAAUCCAUAUUAGUACGAAAGGACCAUAUGGUUAAAAUAUUUUUUGUUAUAUUGAUUAAUAUUAAUUUAUUUA
Schistocerca gregaria is the source of this 892-nucleotide long non-coding RNA. RefSeq lists it as uncharacterized. NCBI's taxonomy places the organism in Eukaryota, Metazoa, Arthropoda, Insecta, Orthoptera, Acrididae. The record is from RefSeq and is a predicted model, not a curated record. The transcript is spliced from 2 exons.